This 740-nucleotide ribosomal RNA is filed under the name Priestia megaterium. Its description in RNAcentral is "bacterial SSU rRNA". It matches the Rfam family "Bacterial small subunit ribosomal RNA", at positions 50 to 771 of the family's 1533-position model. The record is from RNAcentral. Lineage: Bacteria; Bacillati; Bacillota; Bacilli; Caryophanales; Bacillaceae.
AAUACAUGCAAGUCGAGCGAACUGAUUAGAAGCUUGCUUCUAUGACGUUAGCGGCGGACGGGUGAGUAACACGUGGGCAACCUGCCUGUAAGACUGGGAUAACUUCGGGAAACCGAAGCUAAUACCGGAUAGGAUCUUCUCCUUCAUGGGAGAUGAUUGAAAGAUGGUUUCGGCUAUCACUUACAGAUGGGCCCGCGGUGCAUUAGCUAGUUGGUGAGGUAACGGCUCACCAAGGCAACGAUGCAUAGCCGACCUGAGAGGGUGAUCGGCCACACUGGGACUGAGACACGGCCCAGACUCCUACGGGAGGCAGCAGUAGGGAAUCUUCCGCAAUGGACGAAAGUCUGACGGAGCAACGCCGCGUGAGUGAUGAAGGCUUUCGGGUCGUAAAACUCUGUUGUUAGGGAAGAACAAGUACGAGAGUAACUGCUCGUACCUUGACGGUACCUAACCAGAAAGCCACGGCUAACUACGUGCCAGCAGCCGCGGUAAUACGUAGGUGGCAAGCGUUAUCCGGAAUUAUUGGGCGUAAAGCGCGCGCAGGCGGUUUCUUAAGUCUGAUGUGAAAGCCCACGGCUCAACCGUGGAGGGUCAUUGGAAACUGGGGAACUUGAGUGCAGAAGAGAAAAGCGGAAUUCCACGUGUAGCGGUGAAAUGCGUAGAGAUGUGGAGGAACACCAGUGGCGAAGGCGGCUUUUUGGUCUGUAACUGACGCUGAGGCGCGUAAUUUCGGACACUCC